Molecule: ribosomal RNA, 322 nt
Filed under: uncultured eukaryote
Lineage: Eukaryota
Description: partial 18S ribosomal RNA
Rfam family: Eukaryotic small subunit ribosomal RNA
Source: RNAcentral
CCCUUAGAUGUCCUGGGCCGCACGCGCGCUACACUGACAUGCUCAACAAGUUUCUCCUAGUUCGACAGGACUGGGAAAUCUUUGAACGCAUGUCGUGAUAGGGAUAGAUCAUUGCAAUUAUUGAUCUUGAACGAGGAAUUCCUAGUAAACGCGAGUCAUCAGCUCGCAUUGAUUACGUCCCUGCCCUUUGUACACACCGCCCGUCGCACCUACCGAUUGAAUGUUUCGGUGAAGAUUCCGGAUAGGACUGAUUUGAUUUAUUUCAUUUCUGACCUAAAAGCUAUCUAAACCUCAACAUUUAGAGGAAGGUGAAGUCGUAACA